GGGGAUAUAGCUCAGUGGUAGAGCGCAUGCUUUGCAUGUAUGAGGCCCCGGGUUCGAUCCCUGGUAUCUCCA
RNAcentral lists this transfer RNA (72 nucleotides) under Diaphorina citri (Asian citrus psyllid). RNAcentral's name for it is "tRNA-Ala". It matches the Rfam family "tRNA". From Rfam's summary of the family: Transfer RNA (tRNA) molecules are approximately 80 nucleotides in length. Their secondary structure includes four short double-helical elements and three loops (D, anti-codon, and T loops). The record is from Rfam by way of RNAcentral. Lineage: Eukaryota; Metazoa; Arthropoda; Insecta; Hemiptera; Psyllidae.